GCUUAAAUUAGCAUCAUUGAGAACCUGAAUCAGAGCUUUAAAGGGGGGAGACCAAGAAAAUAUAAGCAAGAAACUAAAAAAGAUGUCCUCACCCAUGAAGACAGGACCUCUGGAGGCUGGUGAAGCAUCAAAGAAUGAAACCUCAAAACAUGGGUUAAAUACAAACAGAAGGAGAGCGAUCUCAAUACUAGACCUCAUUUUAAGAGUUUUUGCAGCGAUUGGCACAUUAGGAAGCUCUGUUGCCAUGGGAACUACUAAUCAAACACUUCCAUUUUCGUUUCAAUCUUUCCAAUUCAGGGCUGAGUAUAAUGAUCUCCCUAUGUUCAUGCAAGUAUUCCUUUCUUGUUUCAAAAAAUUUGAACAUUUCAUGUUAUGUAUACCAUACAAUUUAUAAAUGUGUCAACGUAUAUGUGUUGCAGGUUCUUUGUGAUUGCAAAUUCUAUUGUAUGCGGAUAUCUUGUUCUGUCUCUUCCCCUGUCUAUCUUUCACAUCAUCCGGAGUGAAGCGAAAAUCAGCAGGAUCAUCUUCAUCAUAUUUGAUACGGUAGUAGUUCUUGAUUCCUCUUCUAUUCAAUUAAAUACUGUCCAAGAACCAGCUUAACUUAGAAGCUAAGUCUUUGAAUUUCAAACUUGUAAAAGGUUAUGUUGAGUCUUCUCGCUUGUGGGGCUUCUGUUGCAGCAAGCAUUGUAUACUUGGCACACAAAGGGAAUGCUAAUGCCAAUUGGCUCCCGAUUUGCCAACAAUUCAGCAACUUCUGCCAGCGAAUAUCUGGAUCUCUCAUAGGCUCUUUCUUCUCAGUGAUCAUUCUUAUUCUGAUUAUUACUACAUCAGCAGUGUCUCUCUCUCAAAUCUAGUAUAUUACAAGACUGUCUCAUAUAUCUUUAUCCGGUAAAUAAACUUCACCAAGUUUGUUUCCAAUACUGUAUUAUACCAGAAACUCGAUGUGGGUAAAUAAGGUCUAACCAAGAUCUUUUGACCUCUUGCCCUGACUACUAGAUUAAUAAAUGUUUUUGAUAUAAUUGGUUUCCACUGACGCUCAAGUUCAAGAUCUUAUCAUCCUAGAGGUGGAACUCAUUGGCAGAUUUGAAGGCAAAAAGCAUCAAUUUUAGAUAAGCAUUAAAAGUAAUCAAUAAAAGGGCAGAGUUGCAUUCUCACUUGACAACAUAUAUGAUUCAAACGCAUAUAAGCAUGUUCUAUGCCAAAUAUGCCACAACAUCAUCUAUGGAUUUCAACGUCUUCUCAUAGUAUAGAUACGAUUCGUAUACCUUCGGCGAACGAACAUAUUGAUCAAACCGAGCCAUGUUUUCAACCAGGUCAUUAGCCAACUCAACGUACUGUUUCCAGCGACCUUUAGGCAAAGUAGCCAUGGCUAUUUUCAAAUCUUUAGAGAGAUAGGCUUGCUUGAGCCUGAUGUAGAACAUGACAUACCUCCAAGACAUGGUUUCCAGCAUGUCCCUGAUGCUAUGUAGCCCCUCAGCAGUUUGUCUAAUUCUUGCAACUGAAUCUUCUGGAGAUAAAUCAGGCUCAAAGAAACGUUCCCAUAAGAAUGAAUGAACACCCCAAUUCUCAGCCAGUGCUGGAGGGGCUACUGAAGUGGCUAAAGUUGUAGUUAUUACGAUUCUUCUGCGAUUGGAGGUUACAUUUUCUCGGGAUGAAAUUGAUGCUUUAAUCACUGGGAGAGCCGAGUGACUGUGGAGCUUGGAGGCGCUGUGUGCACGGAGGAGAGCUGGGGUGUUGGUGAGGCUGCUGGUGAUCAUGGUUUUGGAUAAAAAUAUUUGGAGCAAUUCAAAUUCACAAGGCAAAUUUUGUCUCUGUGGAUUUCCUGACCCUCUAAUCUGUGCCUUAGCAUUCUGCCAUGUGUCCUUCAUUAUCUUGACAGGAAACAAGUUGUCUUCCCUGCUAUUUUGUUCAUUCUUGUCCUGCAGUUUAGGGAAAAAAAUUCAGCUUAUU
RNAcentral lists this unclassified non-coding RNA (1950 nucleotides) under Hevea brasiliensis (rubber tree). Lineage: Eukaryota; Viridiplantae; Streptophyta; Magnoliopsida; Malpighiales; Euphorbiaceae. The record is from RNAcentral.